Long non-coding RNA from Cydia pomonella (codling moth), 1249 nucleotides. RefSeq lists it as uncharacterized. The record is from RefSeq and is a predicted model, not a curated record. The transcript has 7 exons. NCBI's taxonomy places the organism in Eukaryota, Metazoa, Arthropoda, Insecta, Lepidoptera, Tortricidae.
AAUAAUUACCAUGACGGAACUUUAAACUGAGCUGGAAAAGAUCGUCCUCGAGUGCGCUUUUAUGAUUCUCUAAAUAUCCCUACUCAUUGCCUAUCGCAAGAACUGCACAAGACAAACGAAAUAGAUUUUCGGAUUCAAACACGAUCAUGGUCUUCACUUUCAUCAAAAAUGUGUAAAUCUUCAAUGAACCUAAUGCCCUACGAUGACUUAUGACCUAAAGUUUGAACUGUAUAGAAACAAGGAUGUUUAAUUAAUGUGCCUAGUUCCUGUUCGAAUCGAUAUACCGAUCGAAAUGAGCUCAAAUAUGAAAUCUGUUACUCCUAGCGAGCAAACUGACAACUCUAUUGCAAUAGUCCCUGUUGCCUGACACACAUGAACUGUUAACAAUGAAAAUGUACUGAAAUUGUGCUGGAGAACCCCGCUUGCUGGAUUUGAUGAAUCUUUACACAACCUUAAAGACAAACAGAGACAAGACUAAUGGCUGCCUAUAUAUACCCAUACCUAGUGUUUGGUGAUGUUUAAGCCGAGCGGAGCAAAUUGCCGUUUGCUGUUUUCAUGGACUUUUCUGAGUCUCGAUAAUCUCCAACAAACAGAAUGGUUUCCUGACACCUAGCCGUGAGGUCCCCUAGCAGUCAGUUAGACUUAAGCCAAGCGAAGGAAAUCUCUAUGGUUAUUUUCAUGAUUCCUGUUUCUCCAUGUCUAAGCCACAAUUUUCAAUGUUCCGUAGAACUGACACUGCCCCGCAGUCAUUACAUCUACCCUCAAUGUACACUUACUGAAUGCUUCUAUUGAUGAAAGAUUACGAAGGACCGCACUACUCCAGACUCCUGUUCAAUAAUUUUAUUUCAUCACUUUUGCUGUAACAAUGGCUGCUGUCUACUGCCACUUCAAAGUUCCUGUUCCACGGCUCUAUUUCUAGAAACCUGCACCCACAUCAGCAGUGGUCUACAUUGAAUACUACUUAUAGGGAAAAUGACACUCAAGAUCUUCUUUUAUGUUAGGUAUCAAGGCGCAAGAAGAUGGAAUUAUAAUUGAUUAUUUUGAGAUGACACGUCUCAAAUAUGAAAUGAAUCCCCUAACAACGACGAGAAGAAAACGAGUAAAGAAGACUGAUAAACUUUAAAUAGAAAAUAACUAAUCCUUAUAUUUUUAUUAAGUAGACAAUAACUCUAAGGAUUUUUUUUGUACAUAAUAACAGUUUGAAAAAUAAACGUUUUUAUUUUUCAAACUAACUAAACAAAUAAACGAU